This 144-nucleotide small nucleolar RNA is filed under the name Meriones unguiculatus (Mongolian gerbil). RNAcentral's name for it is "Small nucleolar RNA SNORA48 (ENSMUGG00000015188.1)". It matches the Rfam family "Small nucleolar RNA SNORA48". From Rfam's summary of the family: The snoRNA ACA 48 has been identified to guide pseudouridylation of the residue U3797 in the 28S rRNA subunit. Its host gene EIF4A1 (eukaryotic translation initiation factor 4A1) is shared with U67 and snoRNA mgU6-77 Lineage: Eukaryota; Metazoa; Chordata; Mammalia; Rodentia; Muridae. The record is from RNAcentral.
ACCCCCUGGCAAUGGGCAGAGAGACACCUUGGUGGUGGUGUUGAUCUUAUAUCAGUCAGGGGCAGAGCAGAUGGCAGUCCUUUGUUCAUCCUAGCUUGAUGCCUGCUCUGGUGGCCAAAGCUGUUUCAUGCCUAGGGCACAUAA